AAUGGCCAUACCACCCCGAAUGUGCCUGAUCUCAGAAACUAAGCAGGCUUGGGCCUGGUUAGCACUUGGAUGGGAGAAGUUGUGGAUGCUCAAGAUACAUGCUAUUU
Ribosomal RNA from Cebus imitator (Panamanian white-faced capuchin), 107 nucleotides. NCBI's taxonomy places the organism in Eukaryota, Metazoa, Chordata, Mammalia, Primates, Cebidae. The record is from Ensembl.